UAGGCAAGAGCCAACAGCAAAUACAAUUCGAAGAGCAGAAUCUGGAUCUAGAACUUAUGAUCUUGACUCCUUUGCCUAGCUUAU
RNAcentral lists this transfer RNA (84 nucleotides) under Markhamia cauda-felina. RNAcentral's name for it is "tRNA-Tyr". Lineage: Eukaryota; Viridiplantae; Streptophyta; Magnoliopsida; Lamiales; Bignoniaceae. The record is from RNAcentral.